UUGAACGCUGGCGGCAGGCCUAACACAUGCAAGUCGAACGGUAACAGGGAUCAGCUUGCUGAUUCGCUGACGAGUGGCGGACGGGUGAGUAAUGUCUGGGAAACUGCCUGAUGGAGGGGGAUAACUACUGGAAACGGUAGCUAAUACCGCAUAACGUCGCAAGACCAAAGAGGGGGACCUUCGGGCCUCUUGCCAUCGGAUGUGCCCAGAUGGGAUUAGCUAGUAGGUGGGGUAACGGCUCACCUAGGCGACGAUCCCUAGCUGGUCUGAGAGGAUGACCAGCCACACUGGAACUGAGACACGGUCCAGACUCCUACGGGAGGCAGCAGUGGGGAAUAUUGCACAAAGGGCGCAAGCCUGAUGCAGCCAUGCCGCGUGUAUGAAGAAGGCCUUCGGGUUGUAAAGUACUUUCAGCGGGGAGGAAGGGAGUAAAGUUAAUACCUUUGCUCAUUGACGUUACCCGCAGAAGAAGCACCGGCUAACUCCGUG
Molecule: ribosomal RNA, 489 nt
Filed under: uncultured bacterium
Lineage: Bacteria
Description: partial 16S ribosomal RNA
Rfam family: Bacterial small subunit ribosomal RNA
Source: RNAcentral